RNAcentral lists this ribosomal RNA (373 nucleotides) under uncultured bacterium. RNAcentral describes it as "bacterial SSU rRNA". It matches the Rfam family "Bacterial small subunit ribosomal RNA", at positions 527 to 898 of the family's 1533-position model. The record is from RNAcentral.
GUAGGGGACAAGCGUUAUCCGGAUUUACUGGGCGUAAAGCGCCCGUAGGCGGCUGGACAAGUUGGACGUGAAAGCUCCCGGCUUAACUGGGAGAGGCCGUUCAAAACUGUUUAGCUAGAGUGAGGCAGAGGAGCGCGGAAUUCCCGGUGUAGUGGUGGAAUGCGUAGAUAUCGGGAGGAACACCAGUGGCGAAAGCGGCGCUCUGGGCCUAAACUGACGCUGAGGGGCGAAAGCGUGGGGAGCGAACGGGAUUAGAUACCCCGGUAGUCCACGCCGUAAACGAUGGAGACUAGGUGUAGGCGGAUAGAACCCCGUCUGUGCCGAAGCCAACGCGUUAAGUCUCCCGCCUGGGGAGUACGGCCGCAAGGUUAAA